Molecule: unclassified non-coding RNA, 1990 nt
Filed under: Hevea brasiliensis (rubber tree)
Lineage: Eukaryota; Viridiplantae; Streptophyta; Magnoliopsida; Malpighiales; Euphorbiaceae
Source: RNAcentral
UAAAAAAAAAAAAAAAAAAAGGAGGGAAGUCUCAGUCUGCCAAAUCAAUCGGUUCCAGUUCAACAUGCACAACCACCUCUUUGCUCGCUUUCGGAAACAGCCUCAGGGAUGCCUUGGAAGUAUCUGCAACAUAUCAAUAAGACAAUAAGGCUCAAAAAGGUUGUAUGCUGUCAUAAUAAACAAACAAAAUGGUCAACCAUCCCAAGCAGGUUCUUCAUAUUAAUAACAAAGAACUAAAAAAAAAAUGCUUGAAAGCAUGCAUCUAACAAAUACUCACAUUUUGAAUUGAAGAUACUGAGUUCUAAAGGAUAGUAAAUUCCUCAUUCAUUCCAGGACUUCAAAUUGUAAAAUGACCAAAAAACAAUAUCAUUUGAAGAAAGGAUAUCUGAAGUUAUUUGAAAACAGCAUGCCACUUAAACCUAGGAAGAAGUAAUGAAGAAAGCCACCUUUUUGACAAUUUUUCUAAGAUAAAUAAAUCACCGUAAACAGCAGCAUUGACAUGCUUAACGAGACACAAACAGCAAUAAAAAAAUUUUAUGAUAGGGCUACUUGUCCGCUUAAUCAGGGAAAUUAUUUGUUACUGCAUGCACCAAUAUGAAACUGAUUUCAAUUAAUACAAAAAUGCCUUUUCAUAUUCUACCAAAUUAUUGUUCAUCAGAAAGGGCUAAUUUUCUAUGAUGUUAACAUCUAUUUUAUUUAGAAAAAGACCUCAUGAAAUAGAAAUCAGGAAGUCAACAGAGUGUGCUCAAUUACAAAAUUUAUGUAAUUAGCAGUUCAUCCAACCUAUCACAUCCUUUCAACCUUAGCCAUACCACAGUUAGUAAAAUGGGGUGGAAGAAAGAAAACCACACCAAUUUUCACUCACUCCAUGUCCAGUUAACUUCAUUGGUACCCUACCAAUCCUAAAAGAGACUGUUAUCCAGUUAUGGUCCUUCUCGAGUGGGAUUCUGGCAAGAAGAAUUUGGAAGGGUCCUAACUUUAGCACUUAUCUGUGAGGUCACUACUGUCAAAACUCAAAUCUGCAUCUUGUGGUUGCAAUUCCAAGACUUGUACCAAGCAUUUGCCCCCAUCCAACCCUUUUAGUGUUAUUCAGCAAUUCAAUCCAUGCUUGGUAAAAAUCAAUGUUUAAUUGUGUCAGCAGACUAAGACAAUAAUGAAAAUCUAUUAGAAAUUUUGGCUUGGUCCAUGGCUUCCUCCAAAAUAACUAUAACCAGAAUUGAUGGCAUCUUCAUACAAAAUUUAACUAUAACUUGGAACAGUCAUAGCAGAUUCAAGGCUCAGCAUCCUAUUGUAAUCAUAAAAAUCAAACUUUUGCAACAUGAAUGGGAAAAGAAAACUCUGAUAACAUCAGAGCAAAAUCAUAAGAAACUUAAGAACAAGAAAUGAUGCACAUGGAAAAAGAAAAUUGACAUUACACAACAAGAUCCACAAUUCAGAAUUCAGGUUUCCUUAUUUUCACAAUGUUAAAAUUUUUAUAUCUUAAACUUACUAAACAAGAGAGAAUAAUUCACACUCAUGCAAACGUAUGUAUAUAUGAACAAAGGACUAAGAAUUAAGGGGAAAUUGACCAAAAGAUCAUGCAUAUAAGUAUGCAAAGCUAGGAGAGUAAAAGCAAGUCAAAGAAUUCCUGAUUUUAACCCAAUAAGAAUGCUUCCUUCCCCUUUAAAUUCAAACUUGUUUCACUACAAGCGCUACAAUAUGCUACAUAAGCAUUUUUCAAGCUAUGCAAAAAUGCCUCUUCCACCAAUUACUCAAUGACGGUCCAAAACUUGUACCAUGCAGAAAAAGAGCAGUACAACAGUACCAAUUUUACAGAGCAUGCAAUACCAGAAUGGCAAAACAAAAGAUGUUCAACUCUGUUGUGAUAACAAUGUACAACACUAGUCUGUACAUAUCUAAUUGAUAGGCUAUUGCACUAGUACAUUGAGGAUUAGUAGGUUUGAUUAAGAGAGAAAUUAAAAAGGAAAACCAAAUAUUGAUAAACAGUACU